CAUGAAGCCGGAAUCGCUAGUAAUCGCGGAUCAGAAUGCCGCGGUGAAUACGUUCCCGGGUCUUGUACACACCGCCCGUCACACCAUGGGAGCCGGGAAUGCCCGAAGUCAGUGGCCCAACCGCGAGGGGGGAGCUGCCGAAGGCAGGCCCGGUGACUGGGGUGAAGUCGUAACAAGGUAUC
RNAcentral lists this ribosomal RNA (182 nucleotides) under uncultured bacterium. RNAcentral's name for it is "partial 16S ribosomal RNA". It matches the Rfam family "Bacterial small subunit ribosomal RNA", at positions 1319 to 1500 of the family's 1533-position model. The record is from RNAcentral.